UUGGUUUUCACCGAAGAAGAGGCCAACACCAACCUCAAGUUACACCUACUACCUUUGUAGAGUGUUUAUAUGUGGUGUAUAUGCCAUAUAUUGUUAGUGGCUACUGCCAAAAUAAGGUAGGAUGUGAUACUAGCUGUAAACCAAUUCAAUCAGUUGCCUCAUUAGAUGAUAUGUCGCAUUAAGCUUCUGUUAGUGUAUCUUCUAUGGUUGAAUGACGCAAAAGCAUGAAAGCCACUUUCAAGAAGAGACUAUCGUUUGGAAAAUCAAGAAUUUCAUGGAUUUGGUGUUUUUGCAAAUGUUUCACACAAGGUAUGAGACGUUGUAUGUUUCCGCAACUUCCCCUCACAUAUUGUGAUUGCUUCUAUGAAGGAGAUGGGUUUCUGUAUAAUACUAUUGACGUUAGUCCUUUUGUUACUGUAAUGGAUGCCAACACUUGGUGGGUGUUUUUUCAAUAAAAUAGAAAUGCUUCGGACACUAUUGUAAAUAAUACAAGUCAAAUGCAGUUAUGCAUAAUGGCGACUACAUUAAAGGCAUGUGGUGCUU
Aegilops tauschii subsp. strangulata is the source of this 543-nucleotide long non-coding RNA. RefSeq lists it as uncharacterized. Lineage: Eukaryota; Viridiplantae; Streptophyta; Magnoliopsida; Poales; Poaceae. The record is from RefSeq and is a predicted model, not a curated record.